Long non-coding RNA from Mytilus trossulus (common blue mussel), 521 nucleotides. RefSeq lists it as uncharacterized. The record is from RefSeq and is a predicted model, not a curated record. The transcript is spliced from 3 exons. NCBI's taxonomy places the organism in Eukaryota, Metazoa, Mollusca, Bivalvia, Mytilida, Mytilidae.
UAUUCUCUUCUUUUUUAAGGAUUGAGCCAUUUGAAGUUGGAUGAAAGAUGAUCUGCAUCAUUGUGUUUAUGAUAAUGUGGAAAAGUACCAAUUGUUUUGAGAAUUGGUUCCACAGAUGUCAGUGAAAGAGACUUACGACUUAAUGUACAUGUUUUUGAACAGAACUAUUAAAAAGAAAAAUGGUGCAAAAUCAAUUGAAUCUGGUCACAAGAGAGAUGGAGACCUCGAGAGACAGAAAAAGAACAGACCAGGGAAUCACAGAUCCAUAUCAGAUAAUAAAAUUAAAUUGAAAAUUUAAAGUUUGAAUUUUAUGUUAUUGAAACUAUUAAUUUACAAACUUCCUGAAAAUUUGGAUUUUAUUUAUUAUUGAAUAGAGGCUAAGGGUAUUUGACCAUCAUCAAUGUGCUUACACAUUGAUUUUCAUUCAACUUUAAGAACUUCUUUUUAGGUUUUUAGGGGAAUAUCUGUUGUAUAAGUUACAAAGUUUUGUAUGGAUAUCCACAUUCUGAAUGUUUUCUGAA